GCCAUGGUAUGGCAAUGGUUAAGCACUUGGCUGCUAACCAAAAAGUGGGUGGUUCAAACCCACCCAGAGGCU
Molecule: transfer RNA, 72 nt
Filed under: Loxodonta africana (African savanna elephant)
Lineage: Eukaryota; Metazoa; Chordata; Mammalia; Proboscidea; Elephantidae
Rfam family: tRNA
About the family: Transfer RNA (tRNA) molecules are approximately 80 nucleotides in length. Their secondary structure includes four short double-helical elements and three loops (D, anti-codon, and T loops). Further hydrogen bonds mediate the characteristic L-shaped molecular structure. tRNAs have two regions of fundamental functional importance: the anti-codon, which is responsible for specific mRNA codon recognition, and the 3' end, to which the tRNAs corresponding amino acid is attached (by aminoacyl-tRNA synthetases). tRNAs cope with the degeneracy of the genetic code in two manners: having more than one tRNA (with a specific anti-codon) for a particular amino acid; and 'wobble' base-pairing, i.e. permitting non-standard base-pairing at the 3rd anti-codon position.
Source: Rfam by way of RNAcentral